UACGUAGGGUGCAAGCGUUAAUCGGAAUUACUGGGCGUAAAGCGUGCGCAGGCGGCUUUGCAAGACAGAUGUGAAAUCCCCGGGCUUAACCUGGGAACUGCAUUUGUGACUGCAUGGCUAGAGUGCGGCAGAGGGGGAUGGAAUUCCGCGUGUAGCAGUGAAAUGCGUAGAUAUGCGGAGGAACACCGAUGGCGAAGGCAGUCCCCUGGGCCUGCACUGACGCUCAUGCACGAAAGCGUGGGGAGCAAACAGG
This 253-nucleotide ribosomal RNA is filed under the name uncultured bacterium. RNAcentral's name for it is "partial 16S ribosomal RNA". It matches the Rfam family "Bacterial small subunit ribosomal RNA", at positions 524 to 776 of the family's 1533-position model. The record is from RNAcentral.